UUCCUCUUUUCGGAUGAUAAAUCUUUCUCAGAACAUGGAGUGUGAAUCAAACCCAUGUUUGAAUUGAAAUUGAGAUACUGAUGCAAGUUCUUCCCUUUUGAAUCAGAUAGAUUCAUAUCUGAAAGAGGUUGACAAUAAGUUCUUUUAAAAUUGACUAUUUGCCCCCUCUGUUAGAGGUGUUCCAGAAAUGUCUGCGAUCGAGUAAAUAGCUCUACGAACGAAUGGAUCGGAUCGACUUGGAAAAUGGAAAGAUUUGUACAAGUUAUACGUUUCGUCACCACUUUGUGGAAAAUCGUUAGGUAUGAAUAUGUUAGAUACCUGUGACUCGAUUGGUGAAAUAGUAUCUCUCCCCCAAAAAACAUGUUUUUUUUUACCGAUGCA
This is a long non-coding RNA of Capsicum annuum, 381 nucleotides long. RefSeq lists it as uncharacterized. The transcript is spliced from 2 exons. NCBI's taxonomy places the organism in Eukaryota, Viridiplantae, Streptophyta, Magnoliopsida, Solanales, Solanaceae. The record is from RefSeq and is a predicted model, not a curated record.